GAGUUUGAUCGUGGCUCAGAUUGAACGCUGGCGGCAGGCCUAACACAUGCAAGUCGAGCGGUAGAGAGAAGCUUGCUUCUCUUGAGAGCGGCGGACGGGUGAGUAAUGCCUAGGAAUCUGCCUGGUAGUGGGGGAUAACGCUCGGAAACGGACGCUAAUACCGCAUACGUCCUACGGGAGAAAGCAGGGGACCUUCGGGCCUUGCGCUAUCAGAUGAGCCUAGGUCGGAUUAGCUAGUUGGUGAGGUAAUGGCUCACCAAGGCGACGAUCCGUAACUGGUCUGAGAGGAUGAUCAGUCACACUGGAACUGAGACACGGUCCAGACUCCUACGGGAGGCAGCAGUGGGGAAUAUUGGACAAUGGGCGAAAGCCUGAUCCAGCCAUGCCGCGUGUGUGAAGAAGGUCUUCGGAUUGUAAAGCACUUUAAGUUGGGUAGGAAGGGCAGUAAAUUAAUAACUUUGCUGUUUUGACAUUACCGACAGAAUAAGCACCGGCU
RNAcentral lists this ribosomal RNA (496 nucleotides) under uncultured bacterium. Its description in RNAcentral is "bacterial SSU rRNA". It matches the Rfam family "Bacterial small subunit ribosomal RNA", at positions 9 to 498 of the family's 1533-position model. The record is from RNAcentral.